GAGUUUCAGGAAGGGAAAUUCAUGGAGGAAGUUCACCUCUGGAAGGGUGAGGAGCAAUAAAUAGGGUUGUAGAUGAGCAUGAGAGUGUGGAGCAGAGUCGGCGAGCGCAAGUCGAGCCCAUCAACCUGGACAGCUGUCUCCGUGCUUUCACCGGUGAGGAAGAGCUAGGGGAAGAUGAGAUGUACUACUGUUCCAAGUGUAAGACCCACUGCUUAGCAACAAAGAAGCUGGAUCUCUGGAGGCUUCCACCCUUCCUGAUUAUUCACCUUAAGUGAUUUCAGUUUGUAAAUGAUCAGUGGAUAAAAUCACAGAAAAUUGUCAAAUUUCCUCGGGAAAGUUUUGACCUGAGUGCUUUUUUGGUACCACGAGACCCGGCUCUCUGCCAGCAUCAACCACUCACACCCCAGGGGGAUGAGCUCUCCAAGCCCAGGAUUCUGGCAAGAGAGGUGAAGAAAGUGGAUGUGCAGAGUUUGGCUGGGGAAUAGGACAUGCUCCUGAGCAAAAGCCCAUCCUCACUCAGCGCUAACAUCAGCAGCAG
Molecule: long non-coding RNA, 538 nt
Filed under: Homo sapiens (human)
Lineage: Eukaryota; Metazoa; Chordata; Mammalia; Primates; Hominidae
Description: novel transcript
Source: RNAcentral